GGAGGGUGCAAGCGUUAUCCGGAUUCACUGGGUUUAAAGGGUGCGUAGGAGGGCAGGUAAGUCAGUGGUGAAAUCUCCGAGCUUAACUUGGAAACUGCCGUUGAUACUAUCUGUCUUGAAUAUUGUGGAGGUGAGCGGAAUAUGUCAUGUAGCGGUGAAAUGCUUAGAUAUGACAUAGAACACCAAUUGCGAAGGCAGCUCGCUACACAUAUAUUGACUCUGAGGCACGAAAGCGUGGGGAUCAAACAGGAUUAGAUACCCUGGUAGUCCACGCCCUAAACGAUGGAUACUCGACAUACGCGAUACACAGUGUGUGUCUGAGCGAAAAGCAUUAAGUAUCCCACCUGGGAAGUACGACCGCAAGGUUG
Molecule: ribosomal RNA, 368 nt
Filed under: uncultured organism
Description: bacterial SSU rRNA
Rfam family: Bacterial small subunit ribosomal RNA
Source: RNAcentral